GACGAACGCUGGCGGCGUGCUUAACACAUGCAAGUCGAACGGAAAGGCCUGCUUUCCCUUGUGGAUUGCGGGUACUCGAGUGGCGAACGGGUGAGUAACACGUGAGCGAUCUGCCCCCAACUUGGGUAUAAGCCUGGGAAACUGGGUCUAAUUCCCGAUAGGACUGCAGGGUGGUGCCUGUGGUGGAAAACGAUUUUCUAGUGGUUGGGGAUGAGCUCGCGGCCUAUCAGCUUGUUGGUGGGGUAAUGGCCUACCAAGGCGGCGACGGGUAGCCGGCCUGAGAGGGUGGACGGCCACAUUGGGACUGAGAUACGGCCCAGACUCCUACGGGAGGCAGCAGUGGGGAAUAUUGCACAAUGGGCGGAAGCCUGAUGCAGCGACGCCGCGUGGGGGAUGACGGCCUUCGGGUUGUAAACUCCUUUCGACCGCGAGGAAGCCACCUGGUUGGAAGGGUGGUGACGGUAGUGGUAGAAGAAGCACCGGCUAACUACGUG
RNAcentral lists this ribosomal RNA (494 nucleotides) under uncultured bacterium. Its description in RNAcentral is "partial 16S ribosomal RNA". It matches the Rfam family "Bacterial small subunit ribosomal RNA", at positions 28 to 507 of the family's 1533-position model. The record is from RNAcentral.